AGAAUCAACGCUGGCGGCGUGCCUAACACAUGCAAGUCGCACGAGAAAGGGGAGCAAUCCCUGAGUAAAGUGGCGCACGGGUGAGUAACACGUGAAUCAUCUACCUCCGAGUGGGGAAUAACCUAGAGAAAUCUGGGCUAAUACCGCAUAACACUUACGAGUCAAAGCAGCAAUGCGCUUGGAGAGGAGUUCGCGGCCGAUUAACUAGUUGGCGGGGUAAUGGCCCACCAAGGCGAUGAUCGGUA
This 245-nucleotide ribosomal RNA is filed under the name uncultured bacterium. RNAcentral describes it as "partial small subunit ribosomal RNA". It matches the Rfam family "Bacterial small subunit ribosomal RNA", at positions 26 to 285 of the family's 1533-position model. The record is from RNAcentral.